GAGUGCCAGCAGCCGCGGUAAUACGGAGGGUGCGAGCGUUAAUCGGAAUUACUGGGCGUAAAGCGCGCGUAGGUGGCUUGAUAAGUCGGAUGUGAAAGCCCAGGGCUUAACCUUGGAAUUGCAUUCGAUACUGUCAGGCUAGAGUAUGGUAGAGGGUAGUGGAAUUCCCGGUGUAGCGGUGAAAUGCGUAGAGAUGUGGAGGAACACCAGUGGCGAAGGCGGCUACCUGGACCAAUACUGACACUGAGGUGCGAAAGCGUGGGGAGCGAACAGGAUUAGAUACCCGGGUAGUCCG
This 295-nucleotide ribosomal RNA is filed under the name uncultured bacterium. RNAcentral's name for it is "partial 16S ribosomal RNA". It matches the Rfam family "Bacterial small subunit ribosomal RNA", at positions 503 to 797 of the family's 1533-position model. The record is from RNAcentral.